Myxocyprinus asiaticus (Chinese sucker) is the source of this 2682-nucleotide long non-coding RNA. RefSeq lists it as uncharacterized. The transcript has 4 exons. The record is from RefSeq and is a predicted model, not a curated record. NCBI's taxonomy places the organism in Eukaryota, Metazoa, Chordata, Actinopteri, Cypriniformes, Catostomidae.
GGUGUGUUUGAUUAGGGAGAUAUCCAAAAUAUGUAGUGUUGGGGGGGCCUCCAGGAACAGGGUUGGGAACUUUUGACCUACAUGAACAGUUUUAACUUACUCAAAGAGCAUGUGCAGUGCUAUAGAAAGAGCUGUUAAGCUCAGGUGGAGCAGCUGGAGACAUAGGUGAAUGGACUGACUCAAAGAUUUAGCCAAACUUUGAUGGAACAUUUCAAAGCUGACAUCAAGCCUUACAUGAAUGGUAUGAUGACAAAGAAAUGGCUGGAAACAGAUGAAGACUUUAAUGAAGUGAUAUUCAGAAUUGAGAGUUAUUCUGGGCACUGUAAAUCCAUGAGAAAUCCAUCAGCUCAAGUGAGCCCUUACUUCUGCUCAAACAUGGUCGGUAAUGGCUGCAGAAAACCAUUUUUAACAUCUGUGUCUGCAGUCUCAGUUUUUUGUGAAUGAUGUGCACAGUUACGUAGCAAAGCAAUACGUCUCCCAACUGAUGAAAAAGUAUUCAUGCAAAAACACAAAGAAAGAAGAUGCUGCCAUGUAAAUGAGAGAACAGUGGAAUGAGCUGAAGAAACUGUUUCAAGAAAUGGGAUCAUCCUUCCACUGGCUUUAUCCAGUAUGGUUUCACCUUAUGGGGCUUUUCCACUGCACGGUACAGAUCAACUCGACUCGACUCUGCUCGCUUUUUGGGGGUUUUCCACUGUGGAUAGUACCUGGUACCUGAUACUUUUUUAGUACCACCUCAGUCGAGCUUCCAAGUGAGCCGAGCCGAUACUAAAUGUGACGUCAAAACCCUGCAGAUCACUGAUUGGUCAGAGAGAAUUGUCACUACCAGCAUCACUGGAUUUGCGACCUGGGACAUCAACCCUCUAGUUUUAAAGUUAACAACAGCGACAGCAAUAUCAUUUGUUCACAUGACUUUCCAAUUGUAAAAAGAAAUGGCUGUGUGCAAAACCACGGCGUGGUCAAUAAACGAGGUGCAGACGUUCCUCUCGUUAGCAACAAACGAAACGACGCGAAACGAAAAAGUCUUUCAGGAAGUGUCUCAGCUGUUGUCCGCACACGGCUACCACCGGACCUACCAACAGUGUAGGGAAAAGUUAAAAAAAACUUAAAAGUGACUACAGAACCAUCAAGGACCACAACAUCCGGAGUAGUUCAAACAGAAGAAAGUGGAAGUGGUUCUACCAAAUGGACGCUAUCUAUGGCAAUAGACCGGCGAGCAAUGGGAGGGAGAGUGCCCUGGACUCGGCCACGGCAUUGUUGGAGUCCACGAUGGAGGAUGGUACGUUUUGUUACGUUAACUCUACAUUCUGCUUGAAAGCUUCACUUUAUUUAGUUGACCAGCUACUGGAAAGCUUGCUUCUAAAACAACCAGGCAAAAUCACCAUGCAACAAUUGAUUUAUGCAGCACAAUGAGCUAGUAGCUAACAGCUAGCGGUCGUGUUAUUGUUUAUGGUCAGUAAUGUUUGUGUUGCGUUUAAAAUGAUGUCACGGCAGUAGAGGCGGCGCAACUGUGGCGAUCAGCCUAUAAUCCCACCCAUGUUGAGGCAGCACUAAACUGCAGUGGAAAAGCAAGCUCAGAAAAGUAAAGCGAGCAGAGUUGGGUCAAAUCGUAACGUGCAGUGGAAAAGUGCCAUAGUGACAUUAUUGGAAUGGACCAUUUGAAAAAUAUUAAAGAUUUCUUAAAUCCAUUGGUUAGUAAUUACCCAGACAUCAGAUGAGUGUGAAGAACUUUCAAUGCCUCAUAAUUUAUUUUUACUUUUACAAAAAUAGCUGUUAGUGUUACUUACAUACCAUCACAUUUCUAGCCAGAAGCAAUUGUCAGCCAUUCUGUACUUCCGAGGCACUGGUUUUAGUUUAGAGAAGAAGCAUGUGAUCCAUCAGUUUAUUCAGCUUAAACGGGAUGCAGUGAACACUAAUCAUGAGCACUCAUUCUUCUCUGACAUAAAGGUACGUACGUUUUUAUGUUUUUUAUAUUUUCAUAUCACAGUUAAUCAAACUAUUAUGCAUUUUGCAAUUCAAGACAAAAAUUUGAAUCACAAAACAUGUAUUUAGACAAAUAGCAAAUAUUGGUCAGGAUGAACUUGAUUUUGUGAUAUCACUGUAUAGUUUACCAAUUUAAGGAUAGGCUGCUUUAUAAAUACAUGUAUUCACAUUAGGUGAUUCACUUGACUUAAUUUUCUGCCACCGGAACCAUUAGACGGUGUACCAGUUGAAAUAUAUGGAAAAAAUCUCUUGAUAAUUUUGUUUAGAAAAACCUGAACACAACAGGUAUUAGAUUAUUUGGUGUAUGCUUAUACUCAUUGUUAGCUCUAGAGGGAGACAACAAACUACACUGUAGAUAUAAGAUUUGCAUUUCCUCCAUAUUACCCAAUCAUGCAAAAAGAAGUGAUGGAUUCAUUCUGUUUAUCUACUGUGAUAAUUAUGUAAAUGUGGUUUGUAAAACAAAGAAGGGACAAAACAGAGUAGGCUGUCAUUUAAUUUUCAGGUAAUGCUUGACAGACCCAGCUCUUGAAAUAAAAGCUAUUUGGUGGUUGUUCAUAUUUUGUCCCUCCCUUUUCUCUCAUGAUGCUUGCACGUUUUAGCCUUAGCCUAAUGUACUCUCCAAUUCUUAUCAGUCAAAACGCAUGAAAAUGAAAUACACUUAUGCCUGUAACUACAGUGUGUUUUGUAUAGGUUAUGUUAUUA